This is a non-coding RNA of Vicia faba (fava bean), 210 nucleotides long. Lineage: Eukaryota; Viridiplantae; Streptophyta; Magnoliopsida; Fabales; Fabaceae. The record is from the annotation of a GenBank genome assembly.
AUGAUCAUUCAUUUGGUUUUAGUAUUUCUGGCAGCAGAGAUUUACAAAAUGCAUCUAGUUCAUUUGGAUCAGCUUCAUUUGUAUAAUAAAAUUAAUCAUGGUCACGAAUUGGCUAAUGGAAUUGUUGAACCACAAUGUUUUUCCCCUAGUGGGAACUUUAGUCAACAUUUUAAUUACUUAAAUCCACAGUUUGAUGAACAAAAAUUUUAA